This is a non-coding RNA of Pangasius djambal, 72 nucleotides long. The record is from the annotation of a GenBank genome assembly. NCBI's taxonomy places the organism in Eukaryota, Metazoa, Chordata, Actinopteri, Siluriformes, Pangasiidae.
UCCCUGGAGGACUAGUGGCUAGAUCACAGUGCUCUCCCCACUGUGGCCUGGGUUCGAUUCCCAGCCAGGGAA